CGAAAUGGAUGGAUCGGUAUUUGGAGAAGGUCUUACUCUUUUGGGUGAAAGGUUACUACGAAACAUCUAAUAGUUGAACUUACUCUCCUGGAUCAUUCUAAUGUUGAACUCCAUGGAGCCAAUUUGUUGUGUAUAAAAAAUAAUUCAGUGCUUCUCUUUUAGUCUUUGCUAUCAUGAUGGAACAUGUUCUAUUUUUUGUUAUCUCCUUGCUAUUCCUUCCUAUUUAAUUUAUUCACAUGAGGCAAAAAAAUUAAUUACAAUAUAAUUACCCUAUACUGCUUGUGUUGCACAAUUACAACUCUACUUUCUAAUUCGUUAAUGUAUGUCGCUGAAGCUAAGUGAAUUUUUUUUUAGCAAAAACAAAAAAGCUAAGUGAUAUCAAACUUGCAGCCAGUUAAAUAACAUGCUACUAUGUCAAACCCUUGAGCAACUGAUAAACCUGCAAAGAAUUCUGCAGAACCUUCACAUCUUAAUUGUAGCUGUAAUAAAUAAUGUAACCUGUAGGAGGGGAUUAAGGUUCCCGGA
RNAcentral lists this long non-coding RNA (525 nucleotides) under Phoenix dactylifera (date palm). Its description in RNAcentral is "long non-coding RNA (PDAC_LNC013928)". The record is from RNAcentral. Lineage: Eukaryota; Viridiplantae; Streptophyta; Magnoliopsida; Arecales; Arecaceae.